GAUGAACGCUAGCUACAGGCUUAACACAUGCAAGUCGAGGGGUAACAAGAGGAAAGCUUGCUUUUCUUGUUGACGACCGGCGCACGGGUGAGUAACGCGUAUCCAACCUGCCUAUAACUAGGGAAUAACCUUGCGAAAGUAAGACUAAUACCCUAUGAUUUCCUUUGAUGACAUCAGAUUAGGAAUAAAGAUUUAUCGGUUAUAGAUGGGGAUGCGUCUGAUUAGCUUGAUGGCGGGGUAACGGCCCACCAAGGCAACAAUCAGUAGGGGUUCUGAGAGGAAGGGCCCCCACAUUGGAACUGAGACACGGUCCAAACUCCUACGGGAGGCAGCAGUGAGGAAUAUUGGUCAAUGGGCGGUAGCCUGAACCAGCCAAGUAGCGUGCAGGAUGACGGCCCUAUGGGUUGUAAACUGCUUUUAUACAGGAAUAAAGUUAGCCACGUGUGGUUAUUUGUAGGUACUGUAUGAAUAAGGACCGGCUAAUUCCGUGCCAGCCGCCGCCGUAA
RNAcentral lists this ribosomal RNA (506 nucleotides) under uncultured bacterium. RNAcentral describes it as "partial 16S ribosomal RNA". It matches the Rfam family "Bacterial small subunit ribosomal RNA", at positions 28 to 523 of the family's 1533-position model. The record is from RNAcentral.